UCCGGUGGUCUUAGCGAGGGGGAAACACCCGUUCCCAUUCCGAACACGGCAGUUAAGCCCCUCAGCGCCGAUGGUACUGCACAGUAGACUGUGUGGGAGAGUAGGUCGCCGCCGGGA
Molecule: ribosomal RNA, 117 nt
Filed under: Acidobacteriota bacterium
Lineage: Bacteria; Pseudomonadati; Acidobacteriota
Source: RNAcentral